UACGUAGGGUCCGAGCGUUGUCCGGAAUUAUUGGGCGUAAAGAGCUCGUAGGCGGUCUGUCGCGUCGGCUGUGAAAACCUGGGGCUCAACUCCAGGCCUGCAGUCGAUACGGGCAGACUAGAGUUCGGUAGGGGAGACUGGAAUUCCUGGUGUAGCGGUGAAAUGCGCAGAUAUCAGGAGGAACACCGGUGGCGAAGGCGGGUCUCUGGGCCGAAACUGACGCUGAGGAGCGAAAGCGUGGGGAGCGAACAGG
This 253-nucleotide ribosomal RNA is filed under the name uncultured bacterium. RNAcentral describes it as "partial 16S ribosomal RNA". It matches the Rfam family "Bacterial small subunit ribosomal RNA", at positions 524 to 776 of the family's 1533-position model. The record is from RNAcentral.